AUCUGGGGGACAGGUGUGUGACAGAAAGAGAGACAGUCAUCUGGAGGGGACAGGUGUGUGACAGAAAGAGAGACAGUCAUCUGGAGGGGACAGGUGUGUGACAGAAAGAGAGACAGUCAUCUGGAGGGGACAGGUGUGUGACAGAAAGAGAGACAGUCAUCUGGAGGGGACAGGUGUGUGACAGAAAGAGAGACAGUCAUCUGGAGGGGACAGGUGUGUGACAGAAAGAGAGACAGUCAUCUGGAGGGGACAGGUGUGUGACAGAAAGAGAGACAGUCAUCUGGAGGGGACAGGUGUGUGACAGAAAGAGAGACAGUCAUCUGGAGGGGACAGGUGUGUGACAGAAAGAGAGACAGUCAUCUGGAGGGGACAGGUGUGUAACAUGGUUUAUUCAACAUUACAACACAAUAAUAUUCAUGAUACUGAAACUAUAUACUGCAGUGCUGAGUACAUUUGAACUGUUUACGGUUGUAGCUGUCUGUCUGUCUGUCUGUCUGUCUGUCUGUC
Oncorhynchus keta (chum salmon) is the source of this 507-nucleotide long non-coding RNA. RefSeq lists it as uncharacterized. NCBI's taxonomy places the organism in Eukaryota, Metazoa, Chordata, Actinopteri, Salmoniformes, Salmonidae. The transcript has 4 exons. The record is from RefSeq and is a predicted model, not a curated record.